UACGUAGGUGGCAAGCGUUGUCCGGAUUUACUGGGCGUAAAGAGCGCGCAGGCGGUCAGAUAAGUCGAAUGUGAAAGCCCCCGGCUCAACUGGGGAGGGUCAUUCGAUACUGUUCGACUCGAAGGCAGGAGAGGGAAGUGGAAUUCCCGGUGUAGUGGUGAAAUGCGUAGAUAUCAGGAGGAACACCGGUGGCGAAGGCGGUUCUCUGGGCAUUACCUGACGCUGAGGAGCGAAAGUGUGGGGAGCGAACAGG
RNAcentral lists this ribosomal RNA (253 nucleotides) under uncultured bacterium. RNAcentral describes it as "partial 16S ribosomal RNA". It matches the Rfam family "Bacterial small subunit ribosomal RNA", at positions 524 to 776 of the family's 1533-position model. The record is from RNAcentral.